CUUACUUGGCAAAUCCCAAGGAUCGAACUUGUAGAGAUCGAUAUCUCCGAUGAUCUGGAGAGAGAAAUGAUAGCCUGCAACUUUCCGACAGAGAUACUGAACAAGAAGCUCUUCAUCUGUCGGGUAAAAACGAAAACCUGGAGUAGGUAGGCUGUGUUAAAAGGGAAAGGCUCUUCGAGGAUAAGUACAGUCGUUCUUGUCUUACUGCUGUAAAAUCUAAUCACGAUUAUCUUUGUGGACCAUUUGGACCAUUGACAAACUGCCACGUUUUGUGAACUGCCGACCUUGUCAGUGAGCUGUACAACUUUGUCGAGCGAGAUAAAUGUGCGGAAUAUUUUCGUAUGUGUAUAUGUAUGUUUCUUUUACUAUGAGAAAACAUUCUUGAAGUCAUUUAUUUUCUCAUGGUCCGUUCGUGACAUAUAAAAUCUUUAUAAAAUAA
Raphanus sativus (radish) is the source of this 439-nucleotide long non-coding RNA. RefSeq lists it as uncharacterized. The record is from RefSeq and is a predicted model, not a curated record. The transcript is spliced from 2 exons. NCBI's taxonomy places the organism in Eukaryota, Viridiplantae, Streptophyta, Magnoliopsida, Brassicales, Brassicaceae.